RNAcentral lists this ribosomal RNA (371 nucleotides) under uncultured bacterium. RNAcentral's name for it is "bacterial SSU rRNA". It matches the Rfam family "Bacterial small subunit ribosomal RNA", at positions 527 to 896 of the family's 1533-position model. The record is from RNAcentral.
GUAGGUGGCAAGCGUUGUCCGGAUUUACUGGGCGUAAAGGGCGUGCAGGCGGUCUGUUAAGUUCAGGGUGAAAGCUCCCGGCUCAACUGGGAGAGGUCCUUGGAUACUGGCAGACUUGAGGGAGGUAGAGGAGAGUGGAAUUCCCGGUGUAGUGGUGAUAUGCGUAGAUAUCGGGAGGAACACCAGUGGCGAAGGCGGCUCUCUGGGCCUUUCCUGACGCUGAGACGCGAAAGCGUGGGGAGCGAACCGGAUUAGAUACCCGGGUAGUCCACGCCGUAAACUAUGAACACUAGGUGUGGGGGGUAUCGACCCCCUCCGUGCCGAAGCUAACGCAAUAAGUGUUCCGCCUGGGGAGUACGGCCGCAAGGCUA